RNAcentral lists this ribosomal RNA (253 nucleotides) under uncultured bacterium. Its description in RNAcentral is "partial 16S ribosomal RNA". It matches the Rfam family "Bacterial small subunit ribosomal RNA", at positions 524 to 776 of the family's 1533-position model. The record is from RNAcentral.
UACGUAGGGUGCAAGCGUUAAUCGGAAUUACUGGGCGUAAAGCGUGCGCAGGCGGUUGCGCAAGACCGAUGUGAAAUCCCCGGGCUCAACCUGGGAAUGGCAUUGGUGACUGCACGGCUAGAGUGUGUCAGAGGGGGGUAGAAUUCCACGUGUAGCAGUGAAAUGCGUAGAGAUGUGGAGGAAUACCGAUGGCGAAGGCAGCCCCCUGGGAUAACACUGACGCUCAUGCACGAAAGCGUGGGGAGCAAACAGG